GAUGAACGCUGGCGGCGUGCCUAAUACAUGCGAGUCGAGCGAACAGACGAGGAGCUUGCUCCUCCGACGUUAGCGGCGGACGGGUGAGUAACACGUGGAUAACCUACCUAUAAGACUGGGAUAACUUCGGGAAACCGGAGCUAAUACCGGAUAAUAUAUUGAACCGCAUGGUUCAAUAGUGAAAGACGGUUUUGCUGUCACUUAUAGAUGGAUCCGCGCCGCAUUAGCUAGUUGGUAAGGUAACGGCUUACCAAGGCAACGAUGCGUAGCCGACCUGAGAGGGUGAUCGGCCACACUGGAACUGAGACACGGUCCAGACUCCUACGGGAGGCAGCAGUAGGGAAUCUUCCGCAAUGGGCGAAAGCCUGACGGAGCAACGCCGCGUGAGUGAUGAAGGUCUUCGGAUCGUAAAACUCUGUUAUUAGGGAAGAACAAAUGUGUAAGUAACUAUGCACGUCUUGACGGUACCUAAUCAGAAAGCCACGGCUAACUACGUG
This 497-nucleotide ribosomal RNA is filed under the name uncultured bacterium. RNAcentral's name for it is "partial 16S ribosomal RNA". It matches the Rfam family "Bacterial small subunit ribosomal RNA", at positions 28 to 507 of the family's 1533-position model. The record is from RNAcentral.